Dermacentor albipictus is the source of this 5802-nucleotide long non-coding RNA. RefSeq lists it as uncharacterized. The record is from RefSeq and is a predicted model, not a curated record. Lineage: Eukaryota; Metazoa; Arthropoda; Arachnida; Ixodida; Ixodidae.
AGCAGAGCGGGUUCUAUUCAGCGGAUGGUUCCUGCCAGUGUAACAGGGCUGGAAGCACUGCCGGCGGCCACGCGAACGGCAGCGUUGUUCGGUUUUGGCAGCGGCUCUCAGGCGGGACCACAGGCACUGUCACCAGUGAAGGACCAUUAGCCGCAGAGCCAUCUGGCGGCAAACACAGAAGACCCCUCCUGUCCAUGUACGGCUCUGCCCCGACAGAUGGCGCGCCACGCGCGCAUUGGGGCUGUACGAGGACCGGUGCGAGGCGGGUCGCGGCCCGGACUCUCUCGCCCCUGACGACGCUUCGCUUUGCUCCCUCUGCAGAAUCAAGCGUCCUUCCUUUCUUUGGGCGGCGUGACGUGCGGAUGUGUCUGCAUCAGCUCCGCCAACCGAAGUUGUCCUACUUGUUCCAAUGUACUUUUUCCUCACAAUUUCUACUGCAACGACUCCGGGAAGUUACAAGGCGCAAUUGGAUGGCGCAUCUAUCACGGUGGGUCCACUGAAACCUUUUUUUGUGGGUCCUUUCUCCGACACCAAGGGUUAAGCCUAUUUUGGCUUAGCACGACAUCGGCUCCGCCGUAGCGCGGGAAGGCGCGGCCGCUCGCUUAGCCGACGCCCAAGAGCGUUCUAGAAGAUUCCGCCAUGCCUUACGAGGCAAUGGUAGAGGGAGAGCAAAUCUCCAAAGAAGACGCCGAGUCCAAUGGCUGGAUUACCGCGCACAGAAAGCGGAACGCCGACAAAACCUGCGUCGAGAACGAGACGCGCAAGGCAAAGCAAAAAGGCGCCCGCGUUGGCGCCAAACAAGCCAGCUAGCUAAGAAAUGUUGCCGCAGCCUCCAGGCUACCGCGCCUGCCUAAAUCCCACUUUCGAGUUGUCGUCCGCCCGGGGGGAGGGCUGGACGUGCGAAAAUGCAGUCAGAUCAAAGUCACGAACGCCAUUUUAAUGGCGGCCAAGCUGCCCCCAGUGGCAGUCGAGGAGGGUAUCGUGUGUGCGAAUGCAAUGCAGAAUAUCUUUAUUAUAAGCACACCCUUCGAAUUGAACGCCAGUGCAUACUCCCAGGUCCGAGAGAUUAUCUUGGCGGAUAAACGGCACCCUAUCACGGCAUACAUUACGCCUCCGGGUAAUACCUGAAGAGGUUCGGCCAGAGGCGUCGAUGCCGAUCUGCCCGAAGCUGCACUUCAAAGCCUUUUUGUCACACCCAGAAACCCGAUGGUGCUCGGAGUCAGGCGCAAAAGAGUCGACUACCGUGAUCAUGCUGUUCAAUGGCAUGAAAGUGCCCAACUAUGUGUGCUGCGGCCCCAACAUGGUGCGCUGCACGCUGUACCAGAGGCAAAUAGACACUUGCCGCAACUGCGGACGGGUCGGUCAUUGGCACGACGUUUGCCCCAGACCGACCGACAAAGUGUGUGAAAAGUGCGGAACAUUGCAAACCACAAACGGACAAGAAUGUGUGCAACCCAAGUGCGCGCAUUGCGGAGACGCUCACCUCACCGGCGACCGAACUUGCAAAAACAGGUAUCAAGUUACUUAUGUCGUGAGGAGACGACGCAGAAGAGGAAGGAAACGCGGCAACAAGAAGAAAAACGCAACGAGCAACGCUGGGGGUCGAGGAACCCCAGCUCCAGCCACAACGCCAACUACGAACGCUCUCAGGAACGCCACCGCGCAACGUUCUAGAUCGAGAUGCAGGAGCAGAUCCCGGGUCCAGAUCAACUCACAACCCACCUGGGCGGAAAAGGCACCCAAAACAGGUGAGACCCGUGCUCCCGCACAACAAGGGCAACUCCAAGAGCAAACGCUAGGCAAAAUUCAAUCACUUGAGCGCGAAAACGCGUCUCUUAAAAAAGGAACUGUCUGAAAUUAAGUCAUUAUUGCAGGAAAUGCAGCAGAGAGAACGCGUGAUCGGCGGCCAAGCUGCCGCAGCAGCCGCCUCUCUUAACAGAGGCGCUAAACGGAGGGCGAGCCCCGAGCCCUGGACGAUGAGGAGACGCUUAACGUCUCAGGGAUCAAGCAACUGCUUGACCAGCUAAGAUUGGACAUAGUUUCCGAAAUUAGCCCCACCAAGCUCCAACUGAACGAGCACACAGCGAGGCUCCAAAUUUUAGAAUCCGACAGACAGCUUGCGCUGCUCGGUACGUCCCCACUACGUAAGUAAAAUGGCUAACUCAAGCAAUCUAGUUAUCUGGCAAUGGAAUAGCGCCAGCUUCCGCAAAAGGAAGGCAGCCUUGCAACAACUACUUAGCUCUGCUAACGAAAGGCCGUCGGUAAUCCUCCUUCAGGAAACACUCACCGAUGUGAUCGCUCUUCGCGACUACCAUGCAGAAGCGCACUUUUCGGAGGGCAAAAGAGGAAUAGCGACACUCGUCUCAAAGAGCCUCACCUAUUUACGUCACGACGUAAGGCCAAACUUAAAAGUCGAACACAUCAUGAUCGAGCUCAUCCAAAACGCUAAACUCAACCAAUCCGUUUUCAUUCUGAACGUGUACAGCUCGCCAGCCGACAGAAGGGAGACGUUUAACGCUCUCUUCCAGAAGGCAUGUCAAAUUGCAGGCGAUCAUCCGCUUAUUAUAGCAGGGGACUUUAACGCAAAACACCAAGAUUGGGGUUACAUCAAAGACACGACCAAGGGCAAGGCCCUCGCGGCACAGAUAGCAGCCUGCGGUCUCACCUUGGUCACCGAUCCAACAUACCCCACCAGAAUUGGCAACUCAGCAGCAGGGAUACCACGCCAGACCUGACCAUGGUUAGGAAUGGGGAGGAACCGGUAUGGACCAAUUUACAAGAGAACCUCAGCAGUGAUCACUACAUCAGCAGCCUCGCGAUAAGAGUGUCAUCACCGCCUCUCAGAAAAUUCAGAGUAACGGAUUGGGACCUCUUUAGAGAUAUCAGAAAGAAGGACAAGAUUAAAUACAGCUCGUUAGAGGAAUUAUUCGCCCGCCUCCGAGAAGACGUUGCUGCUUCCACAAAGGAAAUAGAGACGGACAAAGAGGUAGAGCGCAUGGACAGUAGAUUAGCACACCUGCUAGAAGCCAAAAACGUGCUACAGGCACAAUGGAAAACACAAAAGUUAAAUAGACGCCUACGCAAAAAGAUUGCAGAACUUAAUAAGCAAAUAGAUGAACAUAGCCAAACCCUCGCUCGGCAGCAAUGGGACGAAGUAUGCAACGCCGUCGACGGGCAAAUGAGGAGUGGAGCAAAAUGGAACAUCCUCAAGCAUCUGCUUGGGGACAAACAAUCCAAAGCCCAUCAGAGGCUCACUAUUGAUAGGCUCAUCAACAAAUUAAAAAACUCUGGUAUGACCGAGAAACAAAUUACAGACGAGUUGGCCUCGAGGUACCUCUGUAUCGAACCCGGCUCAAACAAUGACUACCUCUCUGCGACACACGAGAACGAAACGGACCCUCUGAGCUCCCCUUUCACGUACGCGGAGGUGAGAGAGGUAUUAUACGAACUCAAUUGCAGAUCAGCACCGGGUCCCGAUGUGAUCACAAAUAAACUCUUAAAGAAUUUGGAUGAUGGGGCCAUCGAGCUCCUCACAAAUAAAAUCAACGAGGUUUGGGAGACAGGCGAGGUACCACUGGAGUGGCGUAAUGCGACCGUAAUCCUCAUCCCGAAGCCAGGAAAAACCUUAGAGCUUGGCUCGCUCCGGCCGAUUUCACUCACUUCCUGUGUGGGAAAGGUCGCCAAGCACAUCAUUCUCCAUAGGACCACUAAAUUCACAGAGGAAAGGAAUCUAUUUCCGUUUAAUCAAAUUGGAUUCAGACCAUCCAUGUCCACACAGGCCGUAAUGCUGCUUCUAAAACAUAAGAUUAUUGACAAGGUCUCCAGAGAUACCUGGGCCGUCCUGGCACUGGACCUAGAAAAGGCCUUCGACAAGGUAACACACUCUCACAUACUCGAAUCGAUUAAAGAAGCUGGUCUAGGACAAAAAUUCUACAAGUACGUCAGCUCCUUCCAAAAGGAUAGAAAAGCCACUAUUCGCCUAAGAGCUCUGGGCUCGAGAACAUUCGAUCUCGGACCCACAGGCACCCCGCAAGGGGCAGUCCUCUCCCCUUUUUUAUUUAACUUAUCCAUGAGAGAUCUUUCCCAAAAGCUGGCCGAGAUUGAGGGUAUCGGUCACGUCUUCUACGCCGACGACAUCACAGUCUGGUGCGAGGGAGGUAGCGACGGGUACAUCGAAGAGAAAUUACAAACAGCAAUCACAGUCGUUCAGGAGUUUCUCGCGAAGGCAGGACUCUGCCUGUCGGCUAAGAAAUCGGAACUGCUACUAUGCCGACGCACAAUCGGUGCAACGAAAGGGACACCUCCCGAUAUAUCUAUCACCACCGAGACCGGAUCCGUCAUUCCGGUAGUACACAGAAUCAGAAUCCUGGGCAUGUUCCUGGAGGAGGACGGCAGUAAUGACUACACCUUAGAGUGCAUUGCAACCAAAGCCGAUUUCAUGACAAAGUUAAUCACGAGGGUGGCCAACAAAAAGGGGGGGGGGGGCUAUCGGAGGAUAAUCUAAGGCGACUCUUCCACGCCUUCCUAAUCAGCCACAUUGACUAUAUAGCCCUGGCCCACAAAUGGAGCAGAAGGAAUGCGGCUAGAGUAGAAACAAUCAUUCGCAAGAGCAUAAAAAAGGCACUGGGUCUCCCACAGAGCACCAGUACUGAAAGGCUGUUGGAGCUAGGUGUCCACAACACCUUUGAAGAGAUAGUCGAGGCGCAGCAGAUGUCACAAGUUGCAAGACUGGCUUCCACGGAAGCCGGCAGACAGCUACUAGCGCAUAUCGGUCAUGGUUCGUGUAUCACCAAACAGAGGGAGUGCGCGCUCCCCGCCAAAGUCAGAGAAAUGUAUUCAGUAUCCCAGAUACCUAGAAAUAUGCACCCUCAACACAAUUACGGCAGACGUAAAGUGAGGGCCAGGGCCCUCCUUAGCCUGGCGGCUAAGAUUGAGGACAACGUCGCCUUCGUCGACGCUGCGCAAUACGCUGCUUCCAAUCAUUUUGUUUCGGUAGCUACAUCGCUGCGGGGGGAGCUGCUGACGUCGCUUACGCAUCAAAAUGUGAACGCCGACAAAGCCGAACAGGUGGCGGUAGCCAUCGCCAUGGCCACCACGAACCGUUCCACUAUCUUCACAGACUCGCGAGCUGCCGUUAGAGCAUUCAUGAAAGGCUCGGUAUGCAAGGAAGCCGCUCGCGUUCUCUCUGCAGCAUCUUGGACAGGCAAAAAGCACUUAAUCUGGUUCCCCGGUCACAUGGGAAGCGAUGCCCAUGAAGCCGUCCCCAACGCCAACGAACUUGCUCACUCCCAGGCACGAGAUCUCACCCGCCGCGCCGGAAGUGGGCAAUCGGUGGCUUGGGGAUGGCAAUGGCACAGGGAACCCUCUCCUUACUUUUAACGAGGUCUGCAGGCACUAUCAACUAGGGCGUUGGAAGUUUCCACUUCCACACCCACACCUAAACAGACCACAGGCAAUCAUCCUGCGGAUGCUGCAGACAGAGACGUAUCCGUCUCCAUUUAUUUGCUCAAAGUUCCUAGGUGGCAUCAACCCGGGCUGACCGCGCUGUGGACAUCCCAGAUGCAUGCUUAAGCACAUGCUCUGGCAGUGCCUCGACUUGUGCGGAGGCUCAGGGUCUCCCUCUUCGGAGGAAGACUGGCUCCAGCUCGUCACCAGCUCCGCCAAGAAAGAGCAACUCAGGGCUGUCCAGAGAGCCCGCGAUAUCGCCGAGAGUCUCAACCUCCCGGCUCCGUCGUGGGUGCGGCCCGCAGACGCUGCCCCCUAACGGGGACACUCAUCGUCUUCUCAGGACCAAAAUAAAAG